Molecule: non-coding RNA, 24 nt
Filed under: Arabidopsis thaliana (thale cress)
Lineage: Eukaryota; Viridiplantae; Streptophyta; Magnoliopsida; Brassicales; Brassicaceae
Source: RNAcentral
AGACUAAAGCAAGGGUCGUUUAGA